Molecule: ribosomal RNA, 402 nt
Filed under: uncultured bacterium
Lineage: Bacteria
Description: bacterial SSU rRNA
Rfam family: Bacterial small subunit ribosomal RNA
Source: RNAcentral
UGGGGAAUCUUGCACAAUGGGGGCAACCCUGAUGCAGCGACGCCGCGUGAGCGAUGAAGCCCUUCGGGGCGUAAAGCUCUUUCGACCGGAACGAUAAUGACGGUACCGGGAGAAGAAGCUGCGGCUAACUACGUGCCAGCAGCCGCGGUAAUACGUAGGCAGCAAGCGUUGUUCGGAAUUACUGGGCGUAAAGGGUGCGUAGGCGGCGCUCUAAGUUUGGCGUGAAAUCUCCCGGCUUAACUGGGAGGGUGCACUGAAAACUGGGGCGCUCGAGUAUGGGAGAGGAAAGCGGAAUUCCUGGUGUAGCGGUGAAAUGCGUAGAGAUCAGGAGGAACACCUGCGGUGCAGACGGCUUUCUGGACCAUCACUGACGCUGAGGCACGAAAGCGUGGGUAGCAAACA